UUUUUUUUAUUUUGUGGGUGUGAGUAUGUUUGGUCUCAUGCAUCAAACCCAUCUCAAAAGAAGACAAUUUUUAAAAGAAGACAACUCCAUUAAUGGCAAAUUAAUCUUUAAAUUGAUGAAAGGGUAAAGGAAACAAUGGGCAUGAGUGGCGAAGAUGAAUUUUUGGAUUUUGUGGGUAUGGGUCUGUUUGGUCCCAUUAAUGGAGAAUUAAUCAAGAAACUUCAUUAAUGGAGAAUUAAUCAAGAAAAAGCAGCAAGAUUGAAGGGGUUUGAAUUUGCGUUAUGGCAUAAGUAAAUAUGAAAUGUUCAAGAGAAAGGGGUUUGGGAGAAGAGAAAAGGAAAAAAAUAAACACUUUUUUUAUUACACCCCGCAGACAUUUGGUCCACCUCUUUUCGUGCAGACGUUUGCAGAUGUGGUCCGCAGACUGCAGACCUUUUGCAUCUGAAAAAACAAACACCACCUUAGUUUUCAUAGUUAAAUUUAUAAGUGGAUCCCACAUAAUGGUAUUUUAGUCAUUUUACCCUAAAUACUAAAAUAAUAAACAUAAAAAACCCAUCUCCCUCUCAUCUCAAAACUCACUUACUGUCUUCCUCAUUUUUUACUCUCUCUCUACAGUCUGAAUGGAGAAACACAUCCAAUCUUGCCUACCAGAAACCAACAGAAACACAACAUCCACACUUAUUCAAGAAACACAACAUCCAAUCUUAUUCAAGGGUUCUGCUCAGAUUGAUAAUUUCAUCAAACCUUGCAUAUACCUGAUCUAUAAGCCUGAAAACAAUGGGGUUUUUAGUACACACUACCAGAUUCGUCAUUGGAGAUCCAUAAGUCGCCAUCAUUCUGCCAGAUCCGUAAGUCGCCGCCGUCGAAUGAUUGAAUCUUGAUAUUGAUUCAAUCAUUGAGGUGGUGUUUAUGGAAGAUGGAAUUUGGGGCUAUGAUUUGCGGGUUGUGGUUGUGGGGGCAGAUCUUAGUGGUGAGUUUGAGUGGCAGUGAGAUGUGGGGUUGGGUGGGCCGUGUGAAGGUGGUGGUAGGUGGUGGGAUAGGCGGUGGUGGUACCAUAGUUAGAGAGAGAUAAAGAGAGGUUUAUCAUAUAUGUGUAUGUGUUUGUAUAGAUAAUUAUAAUUAUAUCUAUGUAAUUUUUUUAAACAA
Long non-coding RNA from Helianthus annuus (common sunflower), 1146 nucleotides. RefSeq lists it as uncharacterized. The transcript is spliced from 2 exons. Lineage: Eukaryota; Viridiplantae; Streptophyta; Magnoliopsida; Asterales; Asteraceae. The record is from RefSeq and is a predicted model, not a curated record.